RNAcentral lists this ribosomal RNA (498 nucleotides) under uncultured bacterium. RNAcentral's name for it is "partial 16S ribosomal RNA". It matches the Rfam family "Bacterial small subunit ribosomal RNA", at positions 30 to 523 of the family's 1533-position model. The record is from RNAcentral.
AUUGAACGCUGGCGGCAUGCCUUACACAUGCAAGUCGAACGGUAACAGGUCUUCGGAUGCUGACGAGUGGCGAACGGGUGAGUAAUACAUCGGAACGUGCCUAGUAGUGGGGGAUAACUACUCGAAAGAGUGGCUAAUACCGCAUGAGAUCUACGGAUGAAAGCAGGGGAUCGCAAGACCUUGUGCUACUAGAGCGGCCGAUGGCAGAUUAGGUGGUUGGUGGGAUAAAAGCUUACCAAGCCGACGAUCUGUAGCUGGUCUGAGAGGACGAGCAGACACACUGGGACUGCGACACGGCCCAGACUCCUACGGGAGGCAGCAGUGGGGAAUUUUGGACAAUGGGCGAAAGCCUGAUCCAGCAAUGCCGCGUGCAGGAUGAAGGCCUUCGGGUUGUAAACUGCUUUUGUACGGAACGAAAAGCCCCGGGUUAGUACCCUGGGGUCAUGACGGUACCGUAAGAAUAAGCACCGGCUAACUACGUGCCAGCAGCCGCCGUAA